GAUGAACGCUAGCGGCAGGCCUAACACAUGCAAGUCGAACGGCAGCACGAAUAAGCUUGCUUAUUUGGUGGCGAGUGGCGCACGGGUGCGUAACGCGUAUGCAAUCUACCCCUAACAAGAGGAUACCCCGGAGAAAUUCGGAAUAAUAUUCUAUAAUACAUUUGAUUCGCAUGUUUUGAAUGUUAAAGCUAAGGCGGUUAGGGAUGAGCAUGCGUGACAUUAGCUAGUUGGUGAGGUAACGGCUCACCAAGGCAACGAUGUCUAGGGGUUCUGAGAGGAUGAUCCCCCACACUGGUACUGAGACACGGACCAGACUCCUACGGGAGGCAGCAGUGAGGAAUAUUGGUCAAUGGACGCAAGUCUGAACCAGCCAUGCCGCGUGAAGGAAGAAGGCCCUAUGGGUUGUAAACUUCUUUUAUAUGGGAAGAAACCCCUCCUCGUGAGGAG
RNAcentral lists this ribosomal RNA (447 nucleotides) under uncultured Bacteroidota bacterium. Its description in RNAcentral is "bacterial SSU rRNA". It matches the Rfam family "Bacterial small subunit ribosomal RNA", at positions 28 to 469 of the family's 1533-position model. The record is from RNAcentral. Lineage: Bacteria; Pseudomonadati; Bacteroidota.